CCCUGUACCUCAGUUGGUAGAGCAUGGUGUUUGCAACGCCAGGGUUGUGGGUUCGAUUCCCACGAGGG
Non-coding RNA from Salmo salar (Atlantic salmon), 68 nucleotides. The record is from Rfam. NCBI's taxonomy places the organism in Eukaryota, Metazoa, Chordata, Actinopteri, Salmoniformes, Salmonidae.